This 507-nucleotide ribosomal RNA is filed under the name Anodocheilus exiguus. Its description in RNAcentral is "partial 16S ribosomal RNA". The stretch from base 384 to 507 matches the Rfam family "Bacterial large subunit ribosomal RNA", at positions 2473 to 2597 of the family's 2925-position model. Lineage: Eukaryota; Metazoa; Arthropoda; Insecta; Coleoptera; Dytiscidae. The record is from RNAcentral.
GUCCUUUAGAAUAGAAUUUAAGGUUUAACCUGCCCAUUGAUUAAUUUUUAACGGCCGCAGUAAAUUGACUGUGCAAAGGUAGCAUAAUCAUUAGUUUUUUAAUUGAAAGCUUGUAUGAAUGGUUGGACGAGAUAUAAACUGUUUCUAUUUUAUAAUUAAAAUUUAAUUUUUAAGUUAAAAAGCUUAAAUAAUAUUAAAAGACGAGAAGACCCUAUAGAUCUUUAUAAAUAUUUUUUUUUAUUUUUUAAGGAUUAUUAAUUUAUAUAAAAUUUUAUUUAUUUUAUUGGGGUAAUAAAAAGAUUAAAUAAAUUCUUUUUUUUUAUUAUAUUGAUUAAUAUUUAUUAGAUCCAAUUAUUUUGAUUAAAAGUUUAAGUUACCUUAGGGAUAACAGCGUAAUUUUUUUUGAGAGUUCAUAUCGAUAAAAAAGUUUGCGACCUCGAUGUUGGAUUAAAAUUUAUUUUAGGUGUAGAAGUUUAAAUAUUUAGUCUGUUCGACUAUUGAAAUUUU